UAACCCAUCAACUGUCAGCCAAUGGUC
RNAcentral lists this non-coding RNA (27 nucleotides) under Homo sapiens (human). Lineage: Eukaryota; Metazoa; Chordata; Mammalia; Primates; Hominidae. The record is from RNAcentral.